This 1801-nucleotide ribosomal RNA is filed under the name Salmonella enterica subsp. enterica serovar Kentucky. RNAcentral describes it as "partial 23S ribosomal RNA". It matches the Rfam family "Bacterial large subunit ribosomal RNA", at positions 454 to 2236 of the family's 2925-position model. The record is from RNAcentral. Lineage: Bacteria; Pseudomonadati; Pseudomonadota; Gammaproteobacteria; Enterobacterales; Enterobacteriaceae.
CAUCCUCCAAGGCUAAAUACUCCUGACUGACCGAUAGUGAACCAGUACCGUGAGGGAAAGGCGAAAAGAACCCCGGCGAGGGGAGUGAAAAAGAACCUGAAACCGUGUACGUACAAGCAGUGGGAGCACAGGUUUACCUGUGUGACUGCGUACCUUUUGUAUAAUGGGUCAGCGACUUAUAUUCUGUAGCAAGGUUAACCGAAUAGGGGAGCCGGAGGGAAACCGAGUCUUAACCGGGCGUUAAGUUGCAGGGUAUAGACCCGAAACCCGGUGAUCUAGCCAUGGGCAGGUUGAAGGUUGGGUAACACUAACUGGAGGACCGAACCGACUAAUGUUGAAAAAUUAGCGGAUGACCUGUGGCUGGGGGUGAAAGGCCAAUCAAACCGGGAGAUAGCUGGUUCUCCCCGAAAGCUAUUUAGGUAGCGCCUCGUGAAUUCAUCUCCGGGGGUAGAGCACUGUUUCGGCUAGGGGGCCAUCCCGGCUUACCAACCCGAUGCAAACUGCGAAUACCGGAGAAUGUUAUCACGGGAGACACACGGCGGGUGCUAACGUCCGUCGUGAAGAGGGAAACAACCCAGACCGCCAGCUAAGGUCCCAAAGUCAUGGUUAAGUGGGAAACGAUGUGGGAAGGCCCAGACAGCCAGGAUGUUGGCUUAGAAGCAGCCAUCAUUUAAAGAAAGCGUAAUAGCUCACUGGUCGAGUCGGCCUGCGCGGAAGAUGUAACGGGGCUAAACCAUGCACCGAAGCUGCGGCAGCGACGCUGAUGCGUUGUUGGGUAGGGGAGCGUUCUGUAAGCCUGUGAAGGUGGCCUGUGAGGGUUGCUGGAGGUAUCAGAAGUGCGAAUGCUGACAUAAGUAACGAUAAAGCGGGUGAAAAGCCCGCUCGCCGGAAGACCAAGGGUUCCUGUCCAACGUUAAUCGGGGCAGGGUGAGUCGACCCCUAAGGCGAGGCCGAAAGGCGUAGUCGAUGGGAAACGGGUUAAUAUUCCCGUACUUGGUGUUACUGCGAAGGGGGGACGGAGAAGGCUAUGUUGGCCGGGCGACGGUUGUCCCGGUUUAAGCGUGUAGGUGUGUGUUCCAGGUAAAUCCGGUUCACUUUAACACUGAGGCGUGAUGACGAGGCACUACGGUGCUGAAGCAACAAAUGCCCUGCUUCCAGGAAAAGCCUCUAAGCAUCAGGUAACAUCAAAUCGUACCCCAAACCGACACAGGUGGUCAGGUAGAGAAUACCAAGGCGCUUGAGAGAACUCGGGUGAAGGAACUAGGCAAAAUGGUGCCGUAACUUCGGGAGAAGGCACGCUGACACGUAGGUGAAGUGAUUUACUCACGGAGCUGAAGUCAGUCGAAGAUACCAGCUGGCUGCAACUGUUUAUUAAAAACACAGCACUGUGCAAACACGAAAGUGGACGUAUACGGUGUGACGCCUGCCCGGUGCCGGAAGGUUAAUUGAUGGGGUCAGCGCAAGCGAAGCUCCUGAUCGAAGCCCCGGUAAACGGCGGCCGUAACUAUAACGGUCCUAAGGUAGCGAAAUUCCUUGUCGGGUAAGUUCCGACCUGCACGAAUGGCGUAAUGAUGGCCAGGCUGUCUCCACCCGAGACUCAGUGAAAUUGAACUCGCUGUGAAGAUGCAGUGUACCCGCGGCAAGACGGAAAGACCCCGUGAACCUUUACUAUAGCUUGACACUGAACAUUGAGCCUUGAUGUGUAGGAUAGGUGGGAGGCUUUGAAGUGUGGACGCCAGUCUGCAUGGAGCCGACCUUGAAAUACCACCCUUUAAUGUUUGAUGUUCUAACGUGGACCCGU